GACAGAGGCCUCAAGCGUUAGGCGGAAUCAUUGGGCGUAAAGAGCGUGUAGGCGGCCCGGUAAGUCCGCUGUAAAAGUCAAAGGCUCAACCUUUGAAUGUCAGUGGAUACUGCCGGGCUAGAGUCCGGAAGAGGCGAGUGGAACUCCUGGUGUAGCGGUGGAAUGCGCAGAUAUCAGGAAGAACACCAACGGCGAAGGCAGCUCGCUAGGACGGUACUGACGCUGAGACGCGAAAGCGUGGGGAGCGAACAGG
This 253-nucleotide ribosomal RNA is filed under the name uncultured bacterium. Its description in RNAcentral is "partial 16S ribosomal RNA". It matches the Rfam family "Bacterial small subunit ribosomal RNA", at positions 524 to 776 of the family's 1533-position model. The record is from RNAcentral.